Molecule: small nucleolar RNA, 215 nt
Organism: Jaculus jaculus (lesser Egyptian jerboa)
Lineage: Eukaryota; Metazoa; Chordata; Mammalia; Rodentia; Dipodidae
Gene: U3
Rfam family: Small nucleolar RNA U3
About the family: Small nucleolar RNAs (snoRNAs) are involved in the processing and modification of rRNA in the nucleolus. There are two main classes of snoRNAs: the box C/D class, and the box H/ACA class. U3 snoRNA is a member of the box C/D class.
Source: Ensembl
AAGACUAUACUUCCAGGGCUCGUUUCUGUAGUUCACUACUAGAGAAGUUUCUCUGACUGGGUGGAGUUCUGGAAGCCAUGAGGAGGAGGUAUAGCUUUCUCUCCUGAGCAUGAGGCUGGUCUUGGGGUUGCUUUGCUGUAGCUGCCACCUGCCAUUGAUGAUUGGUCCUGCUCUCUUCUGGAGGAUCUGGAGGGAGAGGGCACAGCCUGAAUGAC